GGUGGUGUUGCUGGAUCAGAUGGUUGUUUCGUUCCCAGUUUUUUGCGGAAUGUCCAUACUGUUUUUCAUAGUGGUUGUACCAAUUUGCAGUCCCACCAGCAAU
This 103-nucleotide microRNA precursor is filed under the name Marmota monax (woodchuck). Lineage: Eukaryota; Metazoa; Chordata; Mammalia; Rodentia; Sciuridae. The record is from RNAcentral.